This 503-nucleotide ribosomal RNA is filed under the name uncultured bacterium. RNAcentral's name for it is "bacterial SSU rRNA". It matches the Rfam family "Bacterial small subunit ribosomal RNA", at positions 21 to 518 of the family's 1533-position model. The record is from RNAcentral.
GGCUCAGGACGAACGCUGGCGGCGUGCCUAACACAUGCAAGUCGAACGGAGUUAACGAUGGAAGUCCUUCGGGGAUGGAAGCCGUUAACUUAGUGGCGGACGGGUGAGUAACGCGUGAGUAACCUGCCUCUCAGAGGGGGAUAACGUUCGGAAACGAACGCUAAUACCGCAUGACAUAGUGAUACCGCAUGGUAAUGCUAUCAAAGGAGCAAUCCGCUGAGAGAUGGACUCGCGUCUGAUUAGAUAGUUGGUGAGGUAACGGCUCACCAAGUCGACGAUCAGUAGCCGGACUGAGAGGUUGAACGGCCACAUUGGGACUGAGACACGGCCCAGACUCCUACGGGAGGCAGCAGUGAGGGAUAUUGCACAAUGGGCGCAAGCCUGAAUGCAGCAACGCCGCGUGAGGGAAGACGGUCUUCGGAUUGUAAACCUUUGUCUUUGGUGAAGAAGAAAGUGACGGUAGCCGAGGAGGAAGCCACGGCUAACUACGUGCCAGCCGCUGC